AUGGGGAUCAAUGGAAUACUUGCAAGCUUGGGGCAAUUUUCGAUCCUUAGCACUUCAAGCAUCGGGAACUUUACAAAGCUAUCACAAGGCUCUCCCACAAUAUUUUCCACACAUAUCUGCAGGCUUGGUAACUUAAUCAACUCCAUUCUCUUCAAGCCAGGGAAAAUUUGCAGAGGGGUAAUGCAUCCACCUUCCACAUCAAGGUUAUUACAUAAUGUGGUCGUGUUAUCCAUCUUCUCCAAGGACAAAAUUUCUAGAGAGACCGAGAACCAUACUACAGCAGGAAUAUGCAAGAAAUUGUUUUCGAUCUGUCACUUGUUCUAUGGUGUACUAGACGGGAGAUGCGGCACACGGACUUGGGCAAGUCUCAUUAGUCUGGUACAACUGAUGCGAUGCAGUACUGGCUCGCUGCGUUUAAGGUAUCAUGCACAAUCUGAACUGGAUUAG
RNAcentral lists this ribosomal RNA (447 nucleotides) under Triticum aestivum (bread wheat). RNAcentral describes it as "partial small subunit ribosomal RNA". Lineage: Eukaryota; Viridiplantae; Streptophyta; Magnoliopsida; Poales; Poaceae. The record is from RNAcentral.